UACGUAGGUGGCAAGCGUUAUCCGGAAUUAUUGGGCGUAAAGAGCGCGCAGGUGGUUGAUUAAGUCUGAUGUGGAAGCCCACGGCUUAACCGUGGAGGGUCAUUGGAAACUGGUCGACUUGAGUGCAGAAGAGGGAAGUGGAAUUCCAUGUGUAGCGGUGAAAUGCGUAGAGAUAUGGAGGAACACCAGUGGCGAAGGCGGCUUCCUGGUCUGUAACUGACGCUGAGAAGCGAAAGCAUGGGGAGCGAACAGGAUUAGA
RNAcentral lists this ribosomal RNA (259 nucleotides) under uncultured prokaryote. RNAcentral's name for it is "partial 16S ribosomal RNA". It matches the Rfam family "Bacterial small subunit ribosomal RNA", at positions 524 to 782 of the family's 1533-position model. The record is from RNAcentral.